ACGUAGGGGACGAGCGUUAUCCGGAUUUACUGGGCGUAAAGCGCAUGUAGGUGGCCUUUCAAGUUGGACGUGAAAGCUCCCGGCUUAACUGGGAGAGGUCGUUCAAAACUGGGGGGCUUGAGGUUGGAAGAGGAGAGCGGAAUUCCCGGUGUAGUGGUGGAAUGCGUAGAUAUCGGGAGGAACACCAGAGGCGCAAGCGGGUGCCUGGGCGACGACUGACACUGAGGGACGAAAGCGUGGGGAGCGAACAG
RNAcentral lists this ribosomal RNA (251 nucleotides) under uncultured prokaryote. Its description in RNAcentral is "partial 16S ribosomal RNA". It matches the Rfam family "Bacterial small subunit ribosomal RNA", at positions 525 to 775 of the family's 1533-position model. The record is from RNAcentral.